This 442-nucleotide ribosomal RNA is filed under the name uncultured bacterium. RNAcentral's name for it is "partial 16S ribosomal RNA". It matches the Rfam family "Bacterial small subunit ribosomal RNA", at positions 338 to 795 of the family's 1533-position model. The record is from RNAcentral.
CCUACGGGAGGCAGCAGUGGGGAAUAUUGGGCAAUGGGCGCAAGCCUGACCCAGCAACGACGCGUGAAGGAAGAAGGCUUUCGGGUUGUAAACUUCUUUUAAGAGGGAAGAGCAGAAGACGGUACCUCUUGAAUAAGCCACGGCUAACUACGUGCCAGCAGCCGCGGUAAUACGUAGGUGGCAAGCGUUGUCCGGAUUUACUGGGUGUAAAGGGCGUGUAGCCGGGCUGACAAGUCAGAUGUGAAAUUCCGGGGCUCAACCCCGGACCUGCAUUUGAAACUGUUGGUCUUGAGUAUCGGAGAGGCAGGCGGAAUUCCUGGUGUAGCGGUGAAAUGCAUAGAUAUCAGGAGGAACACCGGUGGCGAAGGCGGCCUGCUGGACUGCAACUGACGUUGAGGCCCGAAAGCGUGGGGAGCAAACAGGAUUAGAUACCCGUGUAGUC